CGGUUCUGCAAGUCUUCCGUUAAAUCCACCUGCUCAACAGAUGGGCUGCGGAGGAUACUACAGGGCUAGGAGGCGGGAGAGGCAAGCGGUACUCAGUGGGUAGGGGUAAAAUCCUCUGAUCCACUGAAGACCACCAGUGGCGAAGGCGGCUUGCCAGAACGCGCUCGACGGUGAGGGAUGAAAGCUGGGGGAGCAAACCGGAUUAGAUACCCGGGUAGUCCCAGCUGUAAACGAUGCAGACUCGGUGAUGAGUUGGCUACAUGCCAUCUCAGUGCCGCAGGGAAGCCGUUAAGUUUGCCGCCUGGGGA
RNAcentral lists this ribosomal RNA (308 nucleotides) under uncultured archaeon. RNAcentral describes it as "bacterial SSU rRNA". It matches the Rfam family "Archaeal small subunit ribosomal RNA", at positions 526 to 834 of the family's 1478-position model. The record is from RNAcentral.